AUUGAACGCUGGCGGCAUGCUUUACACAUGCAAGUCGAACGGCAGCGCGGGCUUCGGCCUGGCGGCGAGUGGCGAACGGGUGAGUAAUACAUCGGAACGUGCCCAGUAGUGGGGGAUAGCUCGGCGAAAGCCGGAUUAAUACCGCAUACGACCUGAGGGGGAAAGCGGGGGAUCUUCGGACCUCGCGCUAUUGGAGCGGCCGAUGGCCGAUUAGCUAGUUGGUGGGGUAAAGGCCUACCAAGGCGACGAUCUGUAGCUGGUCUGAGAGGACGACCAGCCACACUGGGACUGAGACACGGCCCAGACUCCUACGGGAGGCAGCAGUGGGGAAUUUUGGACAAUGGGCGAAAGCCUGAUCCAGCAAUGCCGCGUGUGUGAUGAAGGCCUUCGGGUUGUAAAGCACUUUUGGCGGGAACGAAAAGGACUGUGCCAAUACCACGGUUCGAUGACGGUACCCGCAGAAUAAGCACCGGCUAACUACGUG
RNAcentral lists this ribosomal RNA (484 nucleotides) under uncultured bacterium. Its description in RNAcentral is "partial 16S ribosomal RNA". It matches the Rfam family "Bacterial small subunit ribosomal RNA", at positions 29 to 507 of the family's 1533-position model. The record is from RNAcentral.